GAACGAAGGCUUCGGCCUUAGUGGCGCACGGGUGCGUAACGCGUGGGAAUCUGCCUUUCGGUACGGAAUAACUCAGAGAAAUUUGAGCUAAUACCGUAUGAUGUCGUAAGACCAAAGAUUUAUCGCCGAAAGAUGAGCCCGCGUAGGAUUAGCUAGUUGGUGGGGUAAAGGCCUACCAAGGCGACGAUCCUUAGCUGGUCUGAGAGGAUGAUCAGCCACACUGGGACUGAGACACGGCCCAG
RNAcentral lists this ribosomal RNA (242 nucleotides) under uncultured bacterium. Its description in RNAcentral is "partial 16S ribosomal RNA". It matches the Rfam family "Bacterial small subunit ribosomal RNA", at positions 64 to 334 of the family's 1533-position model. The record is from RNAcentral.